ACGUCGGCCGCCCCGUCCUCAGGGAUCACGUCCACGUCCUGAACCGUGGCCUCCUUAUACAGCCAGCUGCGGACAGACAAGCGUUGUACGGAAACAAGCAGAACCUUUUAAAUCUCUCCAGGGCCGGGUGUGAGUCUCGACACAGGUGCAGCCUCAGCGUCCUCCGACUCCCACUGGUGUGUGCUCCUGGCUCACCUGGGCAGCCCAAGAGGCCGUUUCCCCCCUGGGCCAGCGAGACCCCUGUCCUUCAGUGCGUCUGGGUCGAAUGUGCUCGGCAGCAGCGGACAGGAAAGGAGGUUUGCGGAAGGAGCAGGUCUGGACGGACCCACCUGUCAGGUGUUGGAAGUUUCCUUUGCCGAAGACGAGCUUGCUGUCCGGGGAUUUGGUGGAUACGACCAUUGUCUGCACCACGGACCAGCCGUCCAGCGUGUGCACCAGCGCUGUAGCCUCCGCCACCUGCCACUCGGCUGCGGGGACACAGGGGCCACCGUGAGAGAUGCUUCUGUUCGGGGUAGGCCCGGGGCCCCCGUCCACACCUGCCCAGGGAGCCCUCCUGUCCUUGAGACAAUGUCCCCUGAGAACGCACCCCCAGCCGGCGUUUGUCCCAGAUACGACUCCGUGCCCCGUAGGUCCUCUAAGUACGAAUCUGACGGGGGAAGGACGCCGGAGCCACAGCGGGACACGAGGGCGACCCUGCCUGACGUGGAAUUGGGGCUCCAGGAGGGCGCAGCAGGGAACUGGGGAGCUGGGGGUGCUCAGGGAUUACUGAGGAACCGCGGGCAGGUUUUGGGAGGAGAGAGGCAAGAGAUCUGCGCGCUGUUCUGAGCAGUUUGGGGCUUCUGCUGUUCCAAGAACUGACCAUUUUGGAAAACACC
Chlorocebus sabaeus (green monkey) is the source of this 875-nucleotide non-coding RNA. The record is from RefSeq and is a predicted model, not a curated record. NCBI's taxonomy places the organism in Eukaryota, Metazoa, Chordata, Mammalia, Primates, Cercopithecidae.